RNAcentral lists this ribosomal RNA (253 nucleotides) under uncultured bacterium. RNAcentral's name for it is "partial 16S ribosomal RNA". It matches the Rfam family "Bacterial small subunit ribosomal RNA", at positions 524 to 776 of the family's 1533-position model. The record is from RNAcentral.
UACAGAGGGGGCAAGCGUUGUUCGGAAUUACUGGGCGUAAAGGGCGCGUAGGCGGCCAACUAAGUCAGACGUGAAAUCCCCUGGCUCAACCAGGGAACUGCGUCUGAUACUGGUAGGCUUGAGUUCGGGAGAGGGAAGUGGAAUUCCAGGUGUAGCGGUGAAAUGCGUAGAUAUCUGGAGGAACACCGGUGGCGAAGGCGGCUUCCUGGACCGACACUGACGCUGAGGCGCGAAAGCCAGGGGAGCAAACGGG